GAUCAUGGCUCAGGAUGAACGCUAGCUACAGGCUUAACACAUGCAAGUCGAGGGGCAGCAUGAACUUAGCUUACUAAGUUUGAUGGCGACCGGCGCACGGGUGAGUAACACGUAUCCAACCUGCCGAUGACUCGGGGAUAGCCUUUCGAAAGAAAGAUUAAUACCCGAUGGCAUAAUUCUUCCGCAUGGUAGAACUAUUAAAGAAUUUCGGUCAUCGAUGGGGAUGCGUUCCAUUAGGUUG
Molecule: ribosomal RNA, 241 nt
Filed under: uncultured bacterium
Lineage: Bacteria
Description: partial 16S ribosomal RNA
Rfam family: Bacterial small subunit ribosomal RNA
Source: RNAcentral